Molecule: small nuclear RNA, 21 nt
Filed under: Arabidopsis thaliana (thale cress)
Lineage: Eukaryota; Viridiplantae; Streptophyta; Magnoliopsida; Brassicales; Brassicaceae
Description: snRNA_15074
Source: RNAcentral
GUUAGUGUUUUGGAGUUGAAU